GACGAACGCUGGCGGCGUGCCUAAUACAUGCAAGUCGAGCGGACUUUCAAGAAGCUUGCUUUUUGAAAGUUAGCGGCGGACGGGUGAGUAACACGUGGGCAACCUGCCUGUAAGACGGGGAUAACUCCGGGAAACCGGGGCUAAUACCGGAUAAUAUCUUUCUUCGCAUGAAGGAAGGUUGAAAGGCGGCGCAAGCUGCCGCUUGCAGAUGGGCCCGCGGCGCAUUAGCUAGUUGGUGAGGUAACGGCUCACCAAGGCGACGAUGCGUAGCCGACCUGAGAGGGUGAUCGGCCACACUGGGACGGAGACACGGCCCAGACUCCUACGGGAGGCAGCAGUAGGGAAUCUUCCGCAAUGGACGAAAGUCUGACGGAGCAACGCCGCGUGAGCGAAGAAGGUCUUCGGAUCGUAAAGCUCUGUUGUCAGGGAAGAACAAGUACCGUUCGAAUAGGGCGGUACCUUGACGGUACCUGACCAGAAAGCCACGGCUAACUACGUGCCAGCCGCCGCAGUAA
This 515-nucleotide ribosomal RNA is filed under the name uncultured bacterium. RNAcentral's name for it is "partial 16S ribosomal RNA". It matches the Rfam family "Bacterial small subunit ribosomal RNA", at positions 28 to 523 of the family's 1533-position model. The record is from RNAcentral.